Long non-coding RNA from Gasterosteus aculeatus aculeatus (three-spined stickleback), 1260 nucleotides. NCBI's taxonomy places the organism in Eukaryota, Metazoa, Chordata, Actinopteri, Perciformes, Gasterosteidae. The record is from Ensembl.
GAUCACAGCUGAAUUUGUGGACAAUAAUAAAAUGUUGAUAGGAUGAAACUGCAUUUAAUGACAGACAGGUGCAACAAAUGAAGACCUGCAUGAGUCAUUGGAUGAAAUGAGACUCAUGGCCUAGAAUAAUAAAGUGGCUUUAGACAUGAUGUUAGCUGGAAACGGUAACUUCUGCAAAAUGUUUGGAUCUGUUUGUUGUGCGAUCAUCUCCAACAACACAGCUCCUGGUGGCUUGGUGACCAGAGCACAAGCCCCACUGACAGCUCGAACCAGCAGCUGACAGACAACUAAGGCGACGACAAUCCUCUCACCAACGGUCAUGAUCUAGUCCACUACGGAUGAAGCUGCAUCUCCUGCAUCCUUGGAUUCCUGCAGGGAUUGAUCGAUAUUGUGUUUAGUGAGACUAGUAUACAGGGAAAUCGGUAGCGAGUAGAUGAUGAGGGACAAUCACUGUUGACGGAUGUGACUGUAUGAUAAUUUUUCUGUCUUUGAGGGAUGCUCACAGUGAACUGUGAGCAAGGAGGGAAUUGUUAGGGAUUUAAGCCAGAAGUGCACCCCUAGUCAGGAAAUUAUAGUACGUGUAAUAAUGUUUAGUGUUAGAAUUAUAGUUUGUGUGAUGUUAGAUAUUAGUUAUUACAUUAACAUGUUAGAUGAAGUGAAUGCAAUUUCAAUCAAACACAAUUCAUAGUCAUUUAAAUCAUAUAAACACUGCACACAUGAACAUUCUGUUACAAUGUGAUGUUAAAACCUGGGGACGGAUGCCAAUUGCCGUUCUUUAUGGAUUUCUCCCAAUUUUAUCCCCAAGGAGGGUUUUUUGGGAGUUUUUUCUCCUGUCAGGUAAUAAAAUGAACAACUUAUUGCGAGGCAGCCAACUGAGGCAAAUGUCUUGAGAAUGGAACCACAUGAACUGUCUUAGAUCUUAUGAUGAAGUGUGAUGAACGGUGAUCGUUAAUGAUGGGUUGUUGUAAUGAAAGUGUACUAGUUAUAAGAUGAAGACUUAAACGAUGUAUGCUUUGUUAAAUUCACUCAUUGAGGCAUAAAGCCGAAUGUAUCUACAUUGAGUGCAUUGGAAUGUGAGGGACAGAUAGGACAGAGAGGUUUCAGGUUACAGCUGCAGCUUCACACCUCGACGUGGAAGGGACAAUGGAGGAGGUGACCCUUUGGAGAAGAGGCCAAUGACAUUCAAAUGCACCAAAGAAGACACACCUCAAGAGGUUUCAAAGGACCAUGGCGGGGAAAAGACUGUUAGAACUUCUCCUG